This 13354-nucleotide unclassified non-coding RNA is filed under the name Orussus abietinus. Its description in RNAcentral is "ubiquitin carboxyl-terminal hydrolase puf, transcript variant X3". The record is from RNAcentral. Lineage: Eukaryota; Metazoa; Arthropoda; Insecta; Hymenoptera; Orussidae.
AUGUGCGAUGUGUGCGCCGACUUUCACGACCUUCUGCUCUCUUACGAGGAACGCGCCUCCAAGGAGCAAAAUGAGUUGGCCGCCCUCUUCGUAGUAGAUGUGGAGACGAUACUUCACUAUGUUAAUCAGUGGGUACAAAGGCAAUGUAUGUGCUGCUAUCGGGAGGUUAAGAACUUCGACCGAUUUAUAAGACUGACACAAAGUAUCGUUCUUUGCACGUUGCAACAACUUCAAGCCAUACAUCAAAAUGGCCAAUGUGUCGAAGAUGAAACCGACACGGCUAACGAGCACCGGCAUGAAAAGGAGAAAACGGAAAAAGAAAAGUUGAUGAAUGUAAAUCAUGUAAUUCCUGAAUCUUGGAGGAAGUAUACAUGGUCUCAACAGGAUAGAGAAAAAUUGUUUCACCUCCUAUCCAAGAUUUUUUUAUUGAACUUUCCAUUAUACAUUGCAAUGAAGCAUGGUGGAGUAAUAAAUCCUUUAGCUCCGAUCAAGGAUGAAGGUGGUUACUGCGAACCUCAUGAUCCAGAGGUGCCGGCACCUAUGAUCCGUGCAGUUUCAAUAUUUUGUCAUCAAGGUGGUUUCGAUUUGAUGUCCGCAUGCUUCGAUAUGAAAGAACCCCUACCUGUUGGUCUAGCUCAUUCUAUAGUUGCUGUCAUAUGUAAUUUGAAACUAUGGUUGAAUUAUGGUAGCGUCAUCCAGUUAUUUGUACCUCUGCGUAGUCGUGUUAUGAAAUAUAUGUGUCGUCUUGGGGAUAAAGAACUCCGUACCCCAGCUGUGAGAACUAUGGCAGAUUUUAUGUGGAGUGCUGCAAAGGAUCCAAUAGACGCAGUACUCCCAACGUUCGAUCGAGAUGGAUUAGAUUUGGCAUUUAAAUAUUUUACCAGUACGACAUUGACGAUGCGACUGGCAGGCAUAGCUCAAAUAAAUGCGCACAUCACGGCAUUCAACGAGCUGUGUAACAGUGAGACUGUAGCAGAAAUUGAGCAGGUCGGCCAUGCAUUAGCGGCGUGGCUCACAGAGAAUAACAUCAUCGCUCAUAUAUUUGGACCAAAUUUACACGUAGAAGUAAUUAAACAAAGCCACAUAGUACUAAGUUUCCUUGCAAUGGAGGGUAGAAUCUCGUCUUCGGACAUGGACACAAUGUGGCAGGCAGCACAGUUGAAGCAUUGCGGUCGCCCUGUGUACGAUUUGCUUGCCCCUUUAGUGAAACACUUGGCACCCACUCCUGUACUCCACUUGUAUUCGUUGCUGGGUAAGCUCGAACCCAAGGAUCAUACGGAACAAAGUCUAUUUUUGGCAUCCGCUUUGAUAAAAUUUAUUUGGACCUCGGGUGGCUCGGGAUAUCCGAGAGGAUUGUCCGCAAAAGGUAGAGAAGCUUUAAAAAAUUCCGGAGAAAUGGGAGGUACCAGUAGCAGCGAUCCAAGUGGGAUGGACGGAAGUAGCCCCGAAGAGGACGAAGAGGAACCUAGUCCGGCACCAUCCGAAGGGCCAUCGCCAAGAAAGCAGGCACGUGGUGACAGCAGCGAUUGCGAGGUUAACUUCAAAAUGAAGGGCUUGGAAAGUACAUCUCCUGGAGCUAAUUUUGUAAAAGUAGAGGAGCUGCCUCUGGCUAACGUGGAUCAAAAUUCCGACAUGUCGAAGAGUUCGGCCUUGAAGGGUGCGACCGAGGGAGUGACUAUUACCGAGGAAAAGUUCGAUGGUACGUGCGUCGCAAAAGACAAGCAAAGUGGCACCGACGCCGAGGCAGACACCGAAAAGUCGAAUACCGAAGAAACCGUGACGCAGGAGAAAAAGAAGAGGAAAGUUUUUCGAAAAAGAAAGAAGCCGCAGAAACGCUCCGCCUUUUCCGAGAAGGCACUGGAUUAUAUCGUGAGGGACGAAUCCAAUCGACCGUUACGGAAAGAUUUACCAUCCGGUAAAGUUGACAAUGCCUUCGAGCCCGUGAUGCUGAAUACUGCCGGUGGACAGAGAAGUCCCACGGACAAGAUAUUCGCUUUGGCGGACGUUUCGGCGUGCGAGCUGGAGACACCGACGUUCGAAAAUACAACACCGGAGUCUCAGUUGACAUUAGCGGACGACAAAGAAGUUAUUUUGACCCAAGUAUCGGAUAGCAGCCUGGAACCGGAUGAAGUCAGCACGGCGCUAGACGUCCGGAGGACGUUGAAAAUAAAGAAAUUAUUAUUUAAUAGCAUGAAUAGAUUAGCAGGCACUUCGGAGAGUACUCUGGAGACUGCCGCGUUUAGUAGAUCAUUGGACCGCCAGCGAGGUGCAAAAAUGAUGGACUUACCUAUCGACAAUAUGACAAGAUUGGCCGACGUGUCGGAGAGGGUCAUGGAGCCUGCGGUACUCAACAUGAUGCUGGAGGUACAGCAAACCCCAAAGAACGUAGGGCUGUCCAUCGACAAGAUGAGUAUACUGGCAGAUGUGUCGAACAGCAGAUUGGAGCCGAGAAUAUUCAGCGCUGCUCUGGAGGCCCAACAUGCUCGAAAGAGUGCGGAGUUACCUGUUGGCAAGUCAAACAUCUUGGCAGAGGUAUCGGACAGCAGCCUCGAACCGGCUGUACUGAAUACAACCGCGAACUCGGAGUACAGUCGAAAGGAACGCGAUAAAUCUAGGUUGGAUAACAUUUCAGAGAGUACUCUGGAGUCGGUUGGACUCAACGUGGCGCAGAAAUCCACGAAGAGAAUGGACCUUCCGAUGGAUAAGGCGAGUCGACUGGCCCUCGCUUCGGAGCCGGGGACGUCUCUGGAAGACCGCGGCGCGGAGACAACCGACGAAGCAACUCUCGAGUCACAGAAGGGUGCCGAGACCCUCGACAGGGUGAAACAUCAGGCCAUGGAGAUGGAGCCUAGCGAUCAGGAAGUACCCACCACUGCGGCACUGUUAAGGGGAGUAAAUAAAGCCAGCAAGUACGUAUCACUGGUAGGACAUAGCGUAGACAGAGUGCCUAAUUCCGCGGAUAGUUCCCACGACGAGGACGACAGCGACGUGACGGGCAUUGUCGGUCCAUCGGGAGGAACGGGGACCGUCAUGUCCGAGCUGACCGGGUUGGUACACGCGACGGGUCCCCGAUUUCUACCUUCGGGACUUGACGACAUGCUGUCGGAUGAAGAAGGGUCUUACAGCAGUAGAAUAUCGAACAAGAGCGAGAAGAAUAUGGCGGACUUCGACGGGGAGGAGAGUGGCUGCGAGGAGGAGCUGGCACAACUGGCUGCGAGGCAUCUAACGGCGAUUCAGAUGCAGGCCUAUCACCCACACAAUUCUCAUCCAACGAUGACCAUCGGCAGAUCCGUCUGCAGAGCCCCUCAAGUGCGGACCAUACGGCAAACGGUGGCGAGGCUCAGUUCCCAGUUUAACCUGGAGACAGUUUGUAAGCCAGGUAAUACCCUUUUGUGGGAUCUCCUCCAGGACGACAAGAUCGGCCAGCUUGGCGAGGGCUUGGCCCUGGAAGCCGAAAAGGCCCUCUGCAACUUGCUUUGCUUCAACGUCGAGAGGCUGAUACCCAUGAAGUUUAUCGAGGGGUGCCUGGAAAAUCUGGCAGCGAAUCGCUCCGUAGUGGUGUCGCUUCGACUACUUCCAAAAUUACUGGCCAGUUUCCAGCAGUUCGGUACGAUGGAUGCCCACGCAAUUACGACCUGGGCCGACCGAGAGAGGAACAUGAUGAAGCAUUUCUUCAAUAAUCUGAAGACCUAUGCGGCCACCGGACCGAAGACGAACCUGUACUCGCAUCAAACGGAGGUUCAAGUCAGAUUGCAAUUCCUCUCUUCGAUUUUCUCCCCUCUGGGCUCACCGGAUUGUUUCAGGCUGAGUCUGGAGCAAGUAGACAUACUCUGGCAGUGCCUGUCUCAAGACAGCACCUGCGCCGAUGAGCUCUUCAGCUGGUUAUUGAGUCAAGCCAAGUCCACGGAACAACACGCGCUGGGUAUGGACACCCUGAAGCACCUGUGCAUGCGCAAGCUCCCCAGCCUCCCCCCGGAAGCCGUAAGCAUGACAGGCCUCAGUCUCUUUCAACAACUCUGCAACCUGGCGAGAUUAGCUGCAGCUCAUCUGGACAGGCCUCUGCGAGACGUGGACUCGGUCGGCAUGGACUUCCUCUGGCGGAUAGCUUUGAAGGCGAAGAGCACGGACGUUAGCAUGGCGGCGAUACAGUAUCUGAACGGCUAUUACAUGUCGCGGCAAUUAACGCAAGAAGCCGAAUUCGUGUCCCAGUGUAUGACUCACCUGGCUGCGGCCAGCGCAGACCUGGAGAUUAACGAGGAGGCCAGUCUGCGGUGCAUCCAGCGAGCUUUGCUUUUGCUGAGGACUCACCUGGAGGCAUUCAGGAAGCGAUACGCUUACCACUUGAGGCGCUGGGCAUUGGAAGGUCGUGGGACCGACAGUCACAUCGCCAUGAGCGGCUCCGAGAGGGGCCAGCAACUAAGAAUCUACGUCCAGCCGGCAGGUAUUCCCGACAAGACUAGUUUCACCCUGCUGAGUACAGACUACGUAGCCGACUUGAGAGCGGAGGUAGCCAAGUGGUGGGAUGAUAUGCAGAACGAGCAGGAAAAGAAUCCGUCGUCCUCGGUGACGUCGGCCUCGGUCAACAACGGAGGCUCGGUGCUAGGUUCUCUCCUCAGCGACGGUCCGAUUAGAAUGAUAACGCAGGGGCAAGAGCUGACCAUUGACUUCGACGAGAAGACCCUUCAAGAGAUGGGCUUCAAGGACGGCCAGCUGGUGUUCAUCUCCCUAGGCGCGGGUAGGGGUACGGGGAGCGGAAGGUCCGGGAAAAGGGACUUGGAGUCGCCGUCUUUGCUGCCUCCACCGUCUAGAGAUUCCUUGCCGACUCUUCUUCUGCUAAGGCCUCAGUACUUCGAGCAGCUGUUCACCUUGAUGAGGACCCUGAGCGCCAUGAAGACGACCGUUAAAGGCGGUCAGGAGAUACCCCACACGAAGGCCCAAGUGCUGUCCAGGAGGGUCUGGGACACCUUGACUCUGCUUCCCACCAGCCCGACCCUCUUGCGAGGCUUCCAGAAGCUGGAGGAGGCUUCGCUUCCCGAACUGCUGGACCCCGCCAGUCCGCAGAAGCUGAUGUAUUCCCUGUAUAUCGUCGAGUCUUUAAGCAAACGAGGACCCCCGUCUAGACCCGCACCCACCAGUUCCAGCACAGCAACCCCCGUCCACGAAGGAGGUGGUGGCGACGCCGACGAUAAUCAAGACGACAGGGAAAAGGAGACCAGCUGGUCCACGCAGUUCGUCCAACACGGAGGACUCAGGCAUUUGUUCGACAUCUUCAUGUCCGGGUGUCUUGAGCGAGGGGACGGCAGCGAGUGGCAACAGGAUUGCCUCGCCAGUCUGCUGAAACAACUGUGUCAUUUGGGCGUCGUCAGAGAGGAGAGGAAAAGAGGCAAGCCGGACAAGCUGCUGGUGCCCAGACUGAGCGAGGCGAUGUUGGCGAUGAUGGACAUGGAGACGGUGAUGCCCAGACUGACCAACAUCCUGAUAGAAGCUUCCCUGCCUAGGGACCCUAAUCACUAUAAGACCGGCCUCUUUGGGAGGUCCCAGGUGAUCCAUUACGCGAUGGCGUUGCUGGUCUGCUGGGUUCACAGCGACCUCGGGGUCCGGCACUCCUUGUUCUCGUCGACCGAACCCUUCGGGAAGACCUGGCUUCGCCGGCUCGUCCUGGAGGAUCCUGAGCCCGCCGUGAGGAGAGAGGUUUGUACCGCCUUGUACAGACUCUGCUUAGGAAUCACCGGCACCGAGGACGAAAAUGCCGACACGUCCAACUUGAUCGUUCCUAUCCUGAACACUCUGUUGGAGCAUCUCGCGAUCGCCGAGACCAUGCUGCCUUCUCCUCGUAAGCCGGACCUUCCUCUGCAUCUGCACCCUGUCCUGGACGACGGCAAGGAGCCUUACGGACCGGCGUGUCGGGACUACUUCUGGCUGGUCUGUCGCCUGGUGGACUCUUUGCCCGACGACGUCAUUCGGGAAGAGGGCUCCGACGAAUCCUCGGGUGCUAUCAUAGACCUUGAAGCAUUGGCACACAGAGCCAUUGAUUCCGCCUUGAGCAGGGAACACCUGGAGACCAGACACAAUACGGUCGAGGACGACGGCCUCGUCGGCUUGCUGAACCUGAUCUGCAACAUCAUGACUCAUAAUCCUUCCUGCAAGCAGGACAAGAUCGGGCAGAACCUGCUCUGCGAGGUCUUUGACUUCUUGUUCGCCCUGCCGAGUCCGAAGACGAAGCACGUGCCGAAGUGCAAGAGCCAGGCGUCCAGGUCGGCUGCAUUCGAUUUAUUGGUGGAGCUGGUUAAAGCCGCGCCCAAUAAUUACAAGAUCUUGCACGAGAAGCUGUUGGCUCAGCACAGGCCUGGAAGACACUCACCGUAUCCUUGGGAUUACUGGCCUCACGAGGACGGACGUUCCGACUGCGGAUACGUUGGCUUGACGAACCUUGGGGCCACCUGCUACAUGGCUAGCUGUAUGCAACACCUGUACAUGAUGCCACAGGCUCGGGUCUCGAUUCUCGGUGCCGACUGUAACCGAGCGAACAAGCACCAGCUGACUCUGCGGGAGUUGCAGAGGAUGUUCGCGUACCUCCUGGAGUCAGAGAGGAAGGCGUACAACCCGCGCAGCUUCUGCAGGGUCUACACAAUGAACCACGAGCCUCUCAACACUGGCGAGCAAAAGGACAUGGCCGAGUUCUUCAUCGACCUGGUCUCCAAGCUCGAGGAGAUGACCUCCGACCUGAAGAACCUGGUGAAGACGCUCUUUUGCGGGGUGAUAUCCAACAACGUCGUGUCCUUGGAUUGCGAGCACGUCAGCAGGACUCUGGAGGAGUUCUACACGGUGCGCUGUCAGGUGGCCGACAUGAGGAACCUUUACGAGAGCCUCGACGAAGUGACCGUCAAGGACACUCUCGAGGGUGACAAUAUGUACACCUGCUCCCAGUGCGGGAAGAAGGCCCGCGCCGAGAAGAGGGCCUGCUUCAAGAAACUCCCUCACAUCUUGUGCUUCAAUACCAUGAGGUACACCUUCAACAUGGGCACUAUGCUGAAGGAGAAGGUCAAUACGCACUUCAGUUUCCCCCUGAGGCUCGACAUGUCGGGGUACGUCGAGAAGAAGCUGAUGCCCCAGCAGUAUCAGGACGAGAAGAAGAAAGCCCUGGAGAAGAGAAGCGAGGCCGAGGGCUCGGGAGACUUUGGCCUCGACGAGGAGGAGAUGGAGCACUACCUCUACGACCUGAUCGGCGUCACCGUCCACACCGGGACCGCCGACGGGGGUCACUAUUACAGCUUCAUCCGGGACCGCACGUCCCUCAACAAGGACAAGUGGUUCCUCUUCAACGACGCCGAGGUCAAGCCCUUCGACCCGAACCAGAUCGCCGCGGAGUGCUUCGGUGGAGAAAUGACGAGCAAGACCUACGACUCGGUCACCGACAAGUUCAUGGACUUCAGCUUCGAGAAGACGAACUCGGCCUACAUGCUCUUCUACGAGUGGUGCACCGAUCCCGUCGAUCCUUCCAAGGACGAGGAGGCCACCGUCUCGAGUCCUCGCGCCCCGGACACUCCUACGUCCUCUCAACAGCAAUGCAACCCGAGGACCGACAAGCCCCUGCCCCUCGAGCUCAACAAGGAGCUCGAGGACUGGAUCUGGCAGGACAACAUGCACUUCCUGCAGGACAAAAAUAUUUUCGAGCACACCUACUUCAGCUUCAUGUGGCAGAUCUGCGGUUACAUACCUCACACCAUGCAGCCGGACAUCACGGAGAUGUCGGCCGAGCUUUCGACGUCCUUCUUCAUGGAGACGUUCAUCCACGCCAAGGAGAAGCCCACCAUGGUCCAGUGGGUCGAGCUGCUGACGAAACAGUUCAACGGAUCCGCGGGAGCCUGCGCCAGGUUUCUCGAGAGGAUGGCGGCCGAUUCCUGGUGGCCUAUCCAGAUCCUGGUCAAGUGUCCCAAUCAGAUGGUCAGACAAAUGUUCCAGAGGCUAUGUAUCCACGUUAUUCAGAGACUGAGGGCCACCCAGGCACCUCUGUACCUUGCCUGCGACCCCGACAGCGACCCCACCACCGUUGGUACCAGGUCCUGUGUCACCAGAUACGUUCGGAUGCUGCUCUCCCUCAUGGAGCACGCCAAGCAACACCUUAAACACCUCACGGAGUACUUCAGCUUUCUCUACGAGUUCAGCAAGAUGGGGGAGGAGGAGACGCUCUUCCUGAUCCAGGUGCAGGCGAUCUCCACGAUGGUGAAUUUUUACCUUGGACAUAAGACCCACGAGUACGUCGAUGCGGUCAGCGAGGAGGAAGAGGAAGAGGAGGUCGUCACACUGGCCGCGGAGAAGCUGAGGCCCGCCUCGCUUGAUAAGAUGAUAACGCUCAUUGCUACCUUGGUGGAACGUAGCAGAGGACCCGAUCACAGGCUAACGCUGUCGCCGGCAGACUUGAACGCCGUUGCUGGCGGAAAAGGCUUCCCAUUCCUGUACCAACAGACUAGGGACACCAUCAAUUUGAACCAGACUCGCAACUUGAUACAGUCGCUCUGUCGCUGGAACGACCGACUGGCGAUACACAUCGUUACGAUGAUAUUCCAGGCGAUAACGAAGCACACGGACGUCUGUCAGCCGUUCUUUAAAUUGUUGACGCUUUUGACGGAGGGCUCUGGGCCCAGUGGACUGCCUUGCAUGACCCAGCUGAUCUUGGGUAGAGUCUGGGAAGCUGCGAGGGUCGCACCUCACGGAGCCCUCGAAUGGCUCGCCCUUGCUGUCACUAGGAGCAAGCUGGCUCAUGCCUGGGUACUCCAAGGACUGGACACGUGGCUGCAACAUUUCCUUUUGGAGCAUACCAACCAAAGGGUGCGAUCCGCCGCUGCUUUUCUUCUGGUCUCUCUGGUUCCGUCUACGCAAUUCCGCCAGGGGUACAGAAACGCUCACCGGCUAGGAUUGGGAUGCAACCCCACGAGGGAGUUGCAGCUCUCGUCCGAGGCCACUUUGAUCCUCCACCAGAUCUACACCGCUCUUCUGAGACUUCUGCAACCUGCCAGGCACUAUAUCGACAUUCAGACUCAUGGGACGAUGAAACUUACCGCGUACUUUGCACUUCUUACGUACUGUGUUGUUUCGAAGACUGAAAAGUUGAUGUUCGGACAAUAUUUAAACGAUCUGUGGACCCUGUUUCAUCCGAAACUAUCGGAGCCGAGUAUCCCGGUCCAUCAUAAUAAGCAAGCUGUUCUGCUUUUCUGGUACCACGUCUGCUCCGACUGUCCAGAGAAUGUCGCCACGAUACUGCACAAUCCGCACAUCACCAAGAACAUUGCAUUUAAUUAUAUACUAGCCGAUCACGAGGAUCAGGAUGUCGUUUUAUUUAAUAGGGUAAUGUUGCCCGCCUAUUACGGGCUUCUAAGGCUAUGUUGUCAGCAGUCCCGAGGGUUCACGAGACAACUGGCUGCGCAUCAAAAUAUCCAGUGGGCCUUUAAAAAUAUCACCCCGCACCCCACGCAGUACUCGACGGCGGUCGACGAGUUGUUCAAGUUGAUGCAAUUGCUGGUCGCGAGGCACCCGGAUCAAACCGAGCAGGAGGAAGCGGAAAUCGCGUCCUUCCGAAGAGGAACUCUAUCCUCGUACCUGCAAGGUUUAGACGGUCGUUCCUGUUGGGCGACCUUAAUUUCGGCCUUCAGAAUCCUAAUAGAGUCCGACGACGAUCGGCUCUACGUGGUUUAUAAUGGAGGCCUGAGCAUGGCCUUGGAGGCAUUUCACAUGCUGCACGUAAUGUACCACGAGGCAACGGCCUGCCACGUGGCGGGCGACCUGGCGGAGCUGAUAGCCAUAAUCGUCGAGCUGGUCCGCUGCAUCAGGACUGCCCGGGACGGGCCGGACGCGAGGAGCAUCCUUGCGAAUUGCAAAGAGUGGCCGGACGUUCUCCGGAAACUGGCCACUCUUUUGAACACGUACAAUCCGCCGGAUAUGCGGAACCUCGCGAUAGACUUAUUGAAGGAGCUGGUGAUGCUGGUCCCCGCCGAGGCGAUCCUGAUCUUGGCUCCCUUGCUCUCGCACUGCCACGCCGCCUUGCAGGAGUCGCAUGCGGCUGUUCCCCCGGGACCGUAUUUGCCGAGGAGGACCGCGCCGGGAAAAAUGGCCUCCAGGCCAGCUAGGCCGAUGGUGCAGAUGGCGGUUCCGCAUUCUCAGCUCGAGGCAUCGAAGGGCGUCGAUCCGGAAUACGACAGUGCCCUGCUCGAGUUCUAUUUGCCUUAUCAUGAACUGAUCGACGUCAUGUGCAGGCUGGCUAUCAACAACGACUGCAUGACGGAUACGCUGGUUAAUUUGAGCGCCAUGCUAGGAUUCGAGGGAGUGCCCUUGCACUUGGCGCUAUUUCCGAGACUCUGGCUGGACGUCCACGCGGCAACCCACAUCGACAGGAAGCACAUAGCCGCCCUUUUGUGCUCGUCGUAUACGGUAGACUACGUGGACGCGGUGCUCCUGGACGAGAGGUCGUCGUUGGGGGUGCCGGCGAUACACGCCUUCUUGAAGACGUUCUUCCCGAAGCUGGCGAGCCACGUGCUGACCGAGCAGACCUGCUCGCUGAUCGACAACCUGGUGAGCUCGCUGACGGCGAUGGUCGAGGCGGUCGAUCCGCAGGCCUCGGCGCACAGGUUAACGGGAGACCUGCGCGCUCUGGCUCUCGUCUACAGCAGCGGCACCAGGCUCAAUCCUCCGGUCAGCCUGCAGUCGGCUCUGGAGACGUUGCUCUCGCGAACCAAGGCCGCCAGGAUGAAGGAGGCGAGCCAACGGGAGGCCGGAGCGCCCUCGAAGAAGCGGAAGUUCAACCCCGGCGAGGAGGGCGAACGCGAGGGGAAGAAGGUCCCUCCGGAGACGGAGGAGACCGACGAGCGGAAGCGGUUCUCGUUGAUGGACGUCGAGAGCAAGGCCAGGACCGGGAAGAAGGACGACGCCAAGUCCGUCGACUCCGGCGAGGACGAGGCCGAGGACGAGGCCAAGACGACUGCCGGGAACUCGUCCGCGAUACCUCCUAACCCGAUCACCGCCUCCACGGCCAGCGGACGCCCCGACGACCAGCUCCGCUGCACCCUGACCAACGUCUCUUGGCUCGAGAUGCUGGAGAAGACCAUCGUCAACCUGCAGAUGAUAGUGCAAUUGCAAAUCAAGAAUAAUUAAGGGACCUCCCGAACCCUGAACGGCGAUUAUAGACCCCUUCAAGCCCCGGUCGACCCUGGGAACGCGGUUCGACUUGGAGUGCUCGCGGUCGCAUCGGCUCUCGUCGACCACCACCGGCUGGAGCUUACUUAAACGGAAACGCGUUUCGGCCGAUCAUUUCGAAUGGUUCUUGGUCGACCGAUUCGCAAUUGGAAAGUAGGUAGUCCGACGCUCGGCAGGCCUCUACCUUACCGACGCCGGUCUGGCAGGCUACUCGGUGUUCACGUCGAGAAAUGGCGAUGAAAACUCUCCGGAGAAGCUGCGCUGGAGGGCCUCCAAUCUUGCCGGCAACUCCAAGACGUACCACAACGAGAUACCGAAGGCUCGGCGUAGCCAACGCUCGCCGCUUGGCCGUUAGUCGUAAAUUUUUUCAAUAUUAUGCCCGCGUAGAUGCGUCGAGGGGGGGCAGCUCUCGGCGAUUGUGUAAAAAGUGUGCGCGGAUGGAUAUCAAUUGUCUCGUUGCCUCGAGCGAGCCUCUUGUCUGCCAAUAGUCGUGCUGCGCUGUCGUCCCGCUUUUGGCAUCCGCGAAUUACGUCUCACCUGAUUCCCGAGGUCAGCGUGUUUUUAUCCAAUGAACACUUUUACCGUGAGCGAAGAUGACAAGUGCGUGGAUUAUUACUUGACAAGUCGGAAAUGAACUCACUCGGAUCGGCAUGGACUAAGAGAAGACACCGAACAGCUACGACUUGUAGGAUGCGAUUAGGAAUUUCGUGGGGGAAAAAAAUAAAAAAGAAAAUGCGAGCGCCUUUGCGAAACCCGAUGUGUCAUGUAGGUACUUCUAUUUUGUUAGUCAAUAGCCGAAAACGACUUUCAUCCGAGUUAAACUCCGGUUCGAGACGCCAUUUUAGGUGAUGACGCGUCUGCUAUAAGCAGGACAAAUCGUGCAUGAUUAAAAUUUGACUUGCACUCGGAUAUUUAGACAAUUGGUCUUGUGCAAGCGUGAGGACAUCGCUCUCCUCUUCCGUCGUUAUGGAAGCUUCGUUUUGGAAUACCCGACUAGCAAUGCAGGACUACGGUAAUGAUACACGGGCUUCGGUUAUCGAGCACUGGCAUCGCACGAUUAGAACGUAUAAUUGUUAGAUACAGGUUGCAGCUGCUCUCGCCUUCUCUCCUAAGGAAGGUGGAAAAUCGAGUAAGAAUUUUAUCUGGUAAACGGCUGACCGUCGCGUCCCAAUAAGUCUCGGUUUAUUAUGGAAGUAUUCACGCGGCCAUAUCAAUUGUGAACCUUCCCUCCUUGGUCCGCGUAUUCCGCGACAUUCGUUCAAAAUCCGCUUCGUUGCGCCUUUCGUGAAUACGCAGAUUCGUCGCACUGUUACGCUGGGUAUAAAGGACGCAGAGAGGAAAUAUACACAUUUGGUUUUCACGUCUCUUUCUCUCUCUCUAUAUAUAUAUACAUACAUAUAUUAUGUUUCGAUUUUUUAUUUAACGAAGCGUUAGAGGAGUAGAGUGCAAAUCAUCCUAACGACGAUCUUUGGCGCGUUUUCUUGUCCUUGUCGUCCCCGAUGCGUGUAUCAUUAAUGGCUUACGCAAUAUCGUAUGUACAUUACAUCAUGUUGCAUCACACGCUCUCUCGGGUCCUGGCUAUCGGUUUGCCUUGCGCGUUUUUAUUGUGUGUCGACUUGAAGCUACGUGGCCGUGUUUUCUUUUUUUUUCUCUGCUUCUGGUUGGAUCUAAUUGAGGUUCUGACAUUUUGAUAGGGCUCAAGCUUUAAGCCAGCUUCGCUUAUCGCGACGCAAAGUAAUGAUUGUAUACGGUUUCGUUGCUGCGCGACUGUGUCUCACUUUUGACGCCUAGCCGAGCAUUGCGGAACAAAUGAACGAAGGUUCGGUGGUUUUUUAACGAAGGCCCUAUUCGUGUAUGUGUACGUAUACUUGUACGAUACUCCGCUCUGUACAGCUGAUUUCGUUCUUACGCGGCGCAGCCUUGAUUCGCACUCUUGAAAUUUCCGAGCCUGGUAUUUCUGGGCUCCUUUGAACGGCACUGAAAUCGAACUCGCAUCCUUCAUUUGAUUUCCUGCCGUAUGUAUCGUGCGAAUCGCUUUGAUCUCUUGGCUCGAACGAUCCGAGGAAUACGCAAAUCGCACGCUACCACCACGACAUCGUCCAAGUACUCGUUAUCAUUAAAGUGUAUAGUUUUCGAGCGAGAUUAAAUAAACCCCCAUGAUUUUAAA